CAGUACUCCACCAUAUCCUGAAGUGUGCGUAUUCCAGUUAAUCACACAGAAUAAAUAUCAAGCUUACAAAAAGGAAAUAAAACUGCUGGUGUUACAUCCAACCUGCCUUCUCCCUUGCAUCAUUUUCUCACUCCACUCCUUGCCGUUCGGGUCUUCUGACCGAGACUCUGUCUGCUCACCCAACAUUCACUCCCCCCAAACCACAUCACCCUUACAGUUCCUUCAAUGUGGAGAAGAUUGAGCUUCCGGUAUCUUUCGAGCUGUAUGAUGAGGAUGGCGAUCAUAGGCUUAAGCUGAUAGAGUGUGAAUGGCUGGUCAAAAACAUCACCAUGAACCGACCAUUGUAAGCGUGCAUUAAUAAAAUACACAAAGAUGAA
Long non-coding RNA from Clupea harengus (Atlantic herring), 377 nucleotides. The record is from Ensembl. NCBI's taxonomy places the organism in Eukaryota, Metazoa, Chordata, Actinopteri, Clupeiformes, Clupeidae.